UACGGAGGAUGCAAGCGUUAUCCGGAUUUAUUGGGUCUAAAGGGUGCGCAGGUUGUUUGAUAAGUCAGUGGUGAAAGUCUGUCGCUUAACGGUAGGAUUGCCAUUGAUACUGUUAGACUUGAAUAUGGAUGAGGUAGGCGGAAUGUGUAGUGUAGCGGUGAAAUGCAUAGAUAUUACACAGAACACCGAUUGCGAAGGCAGCUUACUAAUCCAUCAUUGACGCUGAGGCACGAAAGCGUGGGGAUCAAA
RNAcentral lists this ribosomal RNA (249 nucleotides) under uncultured prokaryote. Its description in RNAcentral is "partial 16S ribosomal RNA". It matches the Rfam family "Bacterial small subunit ribosomal RNA", at positions 524 to 772 of the family's 1533-position model. The record is from RNAcentral.